RNAcentral lists this unclassified non-coding RNA (344 nucleotides) under soil metagenome. Its description in RNAcentral is "partial contains 5.8S ribosomal RNA, internal transcribed spacer 2, and large subunit ribosomal RNA". The stretch from base 1 to 121 matches the Rfam family "5.8S ribosomal RNA", at positions 35 to 154 of the family's 154-position model. The record is from RNAcentral.
GAUGAAGAACGCAGCGAAAUGAGAUAAGUAAUGCGAAUUGCAGAAUUUCCGUGAGUCAUCGAAUCUUUGAACGCACAUUGCGCCCGCUAGUAUUCUGGCGGGCAUGCCUGUCCGAGCGUCAUUUCAACCCUCAAGCCCCCGGGCUUGGUGUUGGGGAUCGGCGAGCCUCCGCGCCCGCCGUCCCCUAAAUCUAGUGGCGGUCUCGCUGUAGCUUCCUCUGCGUAGUAGCACACCUCGCACUGGGAAACAGCGCGGCCACGCCGUUAAACCCCCAACUUCUGAACGUUUGACCUCGGAUCAGGUAGGAAUACCCGCUGAACUUAAGCAUAUCAAUAAGCGGAGGA